GACGAACGCUGGCGGCGUGCUUAACACAUGCAAGUCGAACGUGAUUUUUGUGGAAAUUCUUUCGGGAAUGGAAAUGAAAUGAAAGUGGCGAACGGGUGAGUAACACGUGAGCAACCUACCUUACACAGGGGGAUAGCCGUUGGAAACGACGAUUAAUACCGCAUGAGACCACAGAAUCGCAUGAUAUAGGGGUCAAAGAUUUAUCGGUGUAAGGAGGGCUCGCGUCUGAUUAGCUAGUUGGAAGGGUAAAGGCCUACCAAGGCGACGAUCAGUAGCCGGUCUGAGAGGAUGAGCGGCCACAUUGGAACUGAGACACGGUCCAAACUCCUACGGGAGGCAGCAGUGGGGAAUAUUGCACAAUGGGGGGAACCCUGAUGCAGCGACGCCGCGUGAGCGAAGAAGGUUUUCGAAUCGUAAAGCUCUGUCCUAUGAGAAGAUAAUGACGGUAGCAUAGGAGGAAGCCCCGGCUAAAUACGUG
RNAcentral lists this ribosomal RNA (478 nucleotides) under uncultured bacterium. RNAcentral describes it as "partial 16S ribosomal RNA". It matches the Rfam family "Bacterial small subunit ribosomal RNA", at positions 28 to 507 of the family's 1533-position model. The record is from RNAcentral.